RNAcentral lists this ribosomal RNA (450 nucleotides) under Aeromonas sp. SC37. RNAcentral's name for it is "bacterial SSU rRNA". It matches the Rfam family "Bacterial small subunit ribosomal RNA", at positions 63 to 500 of the family's 1533-position model. Lineage: Bacteria; Pseudomonadati; Pseudomonadota; Gammaproteobacteria; Aeromonadales; Aeromonadaceae. The record is from RNAcentral.
CGAGCGGCAGCGGGAAAGUAGCUUGCUACUUUUGCCGGCGAGCGGCGGACGGGUGAGUAAUGCCUGGGAAAUUGCCCAGUCGAGGGGGAUAACAGUUGGAAACGACUGCUAAUACCGCAUACGCCCUACGGGGGAAAGCAGGGGACCUUCGGGCCUUGCGCGAUUGGAUAUGCCCAGGUGGGAUUAGCUUGUUGGUGAGGUAAUGGCUCACCAAGGCGACGAUCCCUAGCUGGUCUGAGAGGAUGAUCAGCCACACUGGAACUGAGACACGGUCCAGACUCCUACGGGAGGCAGCAGUGGGGAAUAUUGCACAAUGGGGGAAACCCUGAUGCAGCCAUGCCGCGUGUGUGAAGAAGGCCUUCGGGUUGUAAAGCACUUUCAGCGAGGAGGAAAGGUUGAUGCCUAAUACGCAUCAGCUGUGACGUUACUCGCAGAAGAAGCACCGGCUAA